RNAcentral lists this ribosomal RNA (444 nucleotides) under uncultured Rickettsiales bacterium. RNAcentral's name for it is "bacterial SSU rRNA". It matches the Rfam family "Bacterial small subunit ribosomal RNA", at positions 334 to 797 of the family's 1533-position model. Lineage: Bacteria; Pseudomonadati; Pseudomonadota; Alphaproteobacteria; Rickettsiales. The record is from RNAcentral.
GACCUACGGGGGGCAGCAGUGGGGAAUAUUGGACAAUGGGGGCAACCCUGAUCCAGCGAUGCCGCGUGAGUGAAGAAGGCCUUCGGGUUGUAAAGCUCUUUCACCUGUGACGAUAAUGACGGUAGCAGGAGAAGAAGCACCGGCAAACUCUGUGCCAGCAGCCGCGGUAAGACAGAGGGUGCUAGCGUUGUUCGGAAUGACUGGGCGUAAAGGGCGCGUAGGCGGUUUUUCAAGUCAGAUGUGAAAGCCCUGGGCUUAACCUGGGAACUGCAUUUGAUACUGGAUGACUGGAGUGCGAGAGAGGAAAGCGGAAUUCCUAGUGUAGAGGUGAAAUUCGUAGAUAUUAGGAGGAACACCAGAGGCGAAGGCGGCUUUCUGGCUCGCAACUGACGCUGAGGCGCGAAAGCGUGGGGAGCAAACAGGAUUAGAUACCCGGGUAGUCCG